RNAcentral lists this long non-coding RNA (38484 nucleotides) under Micromonas pusilla. RNAcentral's name for it is "long non-coding RNA (MPUS_LNC000078)". Lineage: Eukaryota; Viridiplantae; Chlorophyta; Mamiellophyceae; Mamiellales; Mamiellaceae. The record is from RNAcentral.
UAACGUCCGCGAUCGCGCCCGGAAGCGUCUUCUUAUCCAACGGCGCGCACGGGCCGACGCACCCGGCGGUCUUCACGUCCCUGGACGUGAUGACCUCGAACACCCCGCCCGCGGAGACGCCCAACGCGUCGUCUUUUCCCGUCGCGAACAUUCGAGAGAAGGACGUCUUGAAGACGACGUUGGCGAAGCUCUCCGCGAGCACCACCAUCCCUCCCGUCUUGUCCACGCACACCUUCAUCUCCUCUAAUCCGACUUGGUCUAAAGAGCACGCGAAAACGUCCAAGCAGUGACCGUUCGCGCACAACUGCGUCGCGAUCGUUUCGUAAUACUUGAACGCCUUGCGCAUAAAAGGCGCCGCGUCCUUGGCGAUGUCCUUGUGCGAACGCAUCGCCUGCUCGAGAUCUUUCCCCACCACCUGCCCGCCGCCGUCCGUCGCGGGGCCGCCGACGAAGAGCAUCGCGCGCGCGGGCUGCGACGGCACGGAACUCGACAGCAGCGUCGCGGCGACCGCGACCGCGGUCCCGGUGCACCGCGCCGGGCGGCAGUCCGGGAGCGCGUUGAACGGGUCGCGCGAGAGCUCUUCCAGCACGCUCGUGAGCUGAGGGUCGAGGGUCCAUACGAGCGAACGUCGGGGUGGAGUUCAAAGGCGUCAGAAGCGGAGUUGAAAGGCGACACGGGCGGGGAUUGAAAGCGAGGGGUGGGCGGAGAGAGACGCCGGGCAAAGUCCUUAAGGAACGGCGUUCACCACGCCGACGCGGUCGUAUGGGAACCAGUGUGAAAUAGAACGCGCCUGAAACUCGCAAUCCGCGAGCGGCGCCAAAAACCGGCUCUGGUGCCCGGCCGCGUGCGCGCCGUUCGCGCCGCCGCCGUGCAUCGCCGCCGGGUGCGGGUUAUUCGCCGUCAUCCCCGCGCCGACGCGGUUAUUCGCCCCGGACGCGCUCCUCGCGCCGGCGAACAGCUGGUCUUGGAUCUGCCCCGAGGAAAACUCUUUUCCGCCUCUGAGGGUCGUUCCAUACGAGCGAAUGACGGGGUGGAGUUCAAAGGCGUCAGGUGGAGUUGAAAGGCGCCGAGGGCGGGGAUUGAGGAUUGAUAGCGAGGGAUGAGCGGAGAGAUGCGCCGGGAAGAAAAGUCCUUAAGGAUCGGCGUUCACCACCCCCACGCGGUCGUAUGGGGACCAGUGUAUAGAACGCGCCUGAAGACGUAACUCUUCGCGCAGUCUCCGAACCCGAGCUCGUGGACGUGUACGUGCGUGCCGUACGUGAUCAACCCCACGAGCGCGUUCUCCGGAAGCAGCGACAGCGCCCUCGUGAGCGACUGCUUCAGCGCGCUCAGUUCCUCCUCGAUGAGGCACACGUCCACGACGAGGAGAUACGCGGGCGGCGGCGCCGCCGGUCGCUGCAACGCGUACUCGAUGGUCGUGUACGUGGGAAACAGCUCCGCGGGAAGGUUCGUCUCGCUUAUCGACGCGUAGUGCGGCGGGAAGUGGUUCCGCGCGUAACAGAACGGACAUAUCCACAGCUUGCCGUUGAAGUCCACGCGCGCGUACGGGUUCAGACACGCGGCGCAGCCUUUGCAUCGCACCGGGUCGUAGGGCACGACGGGCAUGUCCGGGAGGGGUUUUCGCGGGGUCACCACCGCGCCGAGGGGGACGACGCACUUCGCCGCCUCCGCCUUGCUGUUCGGCCAGACGUUCCUGGAGGGACGCGACGCGGUUGGGGGAAGAGGAGGGAAGGACGAGGGACGAUCGCGCGGGGGACGUCAGCGAGCGCGCGACGGGGGAGGAGGCGGUCGGUCGAUCGAUCGGUAAGAUCUGAGGCGCUGUCCGUUGGGGCGAGCGCGCGACGGGCGAGUGCGGGGGGGGCGACGCGUCGCGUCGCGCACCACGACAGCCGGACGCCGUCGACGGCCUCGAGCGCGCCCCAGUCCGGGGUCUGCAUCGCGCGCGUCUGGUCGUCUCCUCCUUCUCUUCUCGAUCCGUCGAGGCGCCGCGGCGACGCGCCGCGGCGACGCGCGGGCGCCUCGUGGAUGCCGCCGCGCGACCCGCGGCCUCCUACUUUCGUCGCCCGCCUCGCGCGCGCGAACCGAACGCGCGACGCUCUCCUCGCGACGCCUCCGUCGACGCGCUCGCGCGUGCUCGCGCUCGCGAAAGACGCGCGCGCGGCGGUUCGGUGCGAUCCCCGAACGGCGAACGCGACGUCGCGCGGUGCUCACUGCGCGCGUCGGCGAGGACUCGGUUUAGACGGAGACGACGGAUGUUUGAUGAUGAGCGCUCGGACCUCGGAGGGAGACUUGCUUGAUGAUGAGACGCGCCGUGCCCCGGCGAAACCGCAGUUGAUCGUGGAUCGAGCAAGGUCGGUUUCAAGUUAGUCGGGUAAAAAAAAAGUGAACCCGCGUCUUCCCGGUGAGAAAAUUUUCAUCGGUGCCGCCAGUUCAUCGCAUUCGUUAUCCUCCACGUCGCCCGCGCGUCGAGCGGCGCGCACACCCCGACGCGCGACCAUGGCCGCCACGAUCGUCUCCUCCGUUUCCCUGACCGCUCGCCCGAGGGCGGCGACGCGCGAGCUCCGCGCGCGCGCCGCGCCCGCGAAGGCGACGCGCGUCGUCGCGCUCCGCGCGUCCUCCGAGAAGGCGCGUCCACCGCGACGACGUCUUCAUCAUCUUCACAUCAUCAGCAUCACCUUUCGCGUCGCGUCGCGUUUCCGUCCCCGAGCGCCGGCCGCGCUUCGACGCCACGCUUCGACCCGACGUCUCCCGACUGACCUCGACUCCGCCCUACCCUAUAUCGAAUCCGAUCCGCGGCAGGUCGAAGCGACGACCUCCAGGCGCGAGGUCGCGGUCAAGGCGCUCGCGGCGCUCACCGCGGCGGCCGCGAUCCGCCCCGCCCCGGUGCGUCCGCGAUAACGCGACACGACGAUCGAUCGCGCGGUCGCGCGCGUCGAACCCUAACCCUAACCCUAAUAACCAACCCUAACGCAUCAAACAAACCCCGCGCCCCUCCGCCCCAACCCCCAGGCCCUCGCGCUCUUCGGCUUCGGCGCGGACAAGGAGACGGUGUACGCGGAGCAGACGACGGCGGUGAUCAACCAAGUCAAGCUCACCCUGGAGCUCCCGGGGGACUCCCCCGAGAAGGCGGCGGCGAUCGAAAAGACGCGGCAGCUGACGAACGCGUGGGUCGCGAAGUACCGCCGCGAUAAGGGCAUCACCGGCCGGCCGUCGUACGGGAACGUGUACAGCGCGCUCAACGCCGUGAGCGGUCACUACAACAACUUUGGGACGAAGUACCCGCUCCCCGCCAAGAGGAAAGAUCGCGUGAUGCAAGAGUUUGGCACCGCCGAGAUCGCGCUCUCUCGCGGACGCUAAGUAACGACGCGCCAGGGCGAGGCGUUAUUACAGUACGUAUUAAGGGCGAGCGAUGGUGAACGGAAGAAAAGAUCCGAGAUCUAUCCGGGGGAAGAGAAGAGAAUAAACGUGGAACGUGUAAUACACAAUAGGUGCGUUCGUCGUCGCGGCUCGCGCGCGCGUUCCCUCGAAAAAAUAAACCAAUUCUCGCGGAUCUUCGCGCCGCCGCCGCGGCUACAGGUUCGCGCGCGCGAGCAGCUCCUUAUCGAUCGUCGCGAACGUAUCGUGGUAAAACGCCCGAAACGCAGGCGUUUUCAGCGCCGCGUACGCCGCGUCCUCCAAGCUCCUGUGCUCCGUCUUGCGAUCCUUCACCUUGACCUCGUACUCUACCUCGUCGUCCUCCACGGUGUCCCGGCUCGCCUCCGGGACGCGCAUCGUCCCCUUCACGACGAUCGGCGCCGGCUCCUCCUCCUCCUCCUCCUCCUCCUCCUCCUCCUCCUCCUCCUCUUCAUCCUUCUUCUUCUCUUCCUCUUCCUCCGCGUCCAGCGGCGGCGGCUUCGGCUUCUUCGUCUUCUUCUUCUUCGCCGAGGGUACUCCCGGGAACGUCGCCUCCCAUUCGAACGUCGCGUCGAAGUCGAACCCGUGGCGGUUCUUCCCGCGGACGAGCACCACCGUGGCGUCGCCGUCGAACGUCUUCACUUUGGUGAUAACGCACUCUCCGCCGCCGUUACACUUCACCAUCUUCCCGAGCACGAGCUCUUCCACGCGCGCUCUCGCCCAGUCCGUGUGCCCGCGCUCCUCCCACGUCGUCCCGUCUCUGUUCCACGACGAGACGCCGCCGCCGACGCUUCCCUGAGGGCCGUUCCGUACGAGCGAACGAACGUCGGGGUGGAAUUGAAAGGCGUCAGAAACGGAGUUGAAAGGCGACGAGCUCGGGGAUUGAACGCGAGGGAUGGGCGGAGAGAUACGCCGGGAAGAAAAGUCCUCAAGGAACGGCGUGCACCGCGCCGACGCGGUCGUACGGGGACCGGUGUAAUAACAGAACGCGCCUGAGACUCGAGCUUCUUCGCUUCCUCCUCGGAGAGCUUCACGGGCUGCGCCCUCGGCGCGGUCCCCUGGUUCGCCUGCUCGUGCCAGUAGUGGUACCCCCCCGCGGCUUUGUCCUUCUCCUUCUCAUGCGCCGGCGGCGGCGUCGUCGUCGCGUCGGCGGCCGACGUCUUCUUUAUACCCAUCGACGCGGCGGCGGCGGCGGCGGCGGACGACGACGAAGAAACGAUCUUCUUUGUUUUUUUCUUCUUCUUCGAAGCCAACGUCGAAGACGCGGUCGGCGACGAUGACGGCUUCCCGGCGCGCGCGAGCGGACGCGCUCUGAUGAACGCGGAGAGCGCGGCGACGAACCCGGACGCGACCGUCCGGGCGGCGGACGAGAGCGCGUUCCCGAUGCCGGCGUGCGGGACCGCGCGGCGGCGAAGUGGCGCGGGGAGACGAAAGAUCCAGCCACGCGGCUCAUCAGACCUCGUCUGACUGAGAGAAAACGGACCGUCGCGUCGCGCGCGCGCGGGAAUCGACGAUUUCGUCGCGGCCGUCGAGAGGCUCUACUCUGCUCUACGCGUUCAAUGUCGUCAAUACAAUCGCGCGUCGCCGUCUACACCGCGCCUCGCUUCCUCCCCCGGGCGGGGCGUCGUUCGCCCUCCGUCGCGCGCGUCGCUCGUCGUCCGUCGCCUCGUCGCAUCAUCGAUCCUCACCGCGGGAUGAUGGGCUUUUUUUUCUUGCGCGGAUACGUGCAGUAGCAGUACGCGGCUAAGCAAGCCGUGACCAUCAUGAGCGGGCCGCCCGCCCACAUCAUGAUCAGGCUCUUCCAGCUUAUGAACCACGCCAUCGUCGCGAAGCGGCGCGCGGCGUGUUUCGGCGACGGGGGCGGCGCGCGCCGCGAGUUGUGCGCGACGGACGAGCGCGCCCUCGUUGAACUCCUCAAUGUACUCACUCGCGGCCCGGUCAUCAUUUUUCGCGCGCGAUCGAUCGGUCGCGUCGGCAGUGAUCGCCCGCGCGCCCCGCGCCGACGAGCGAGGUCGUCGCGAUGAACGGGCAGCAGGAGACGCUGGGCGCGAACGCGCCGCCGAAACCGAAGACGUCCAAGGCGCGUCUCGACGCCGCGAACGAUCGCGCGCGCGCGCGCCGGUCGAUCGUCGCCGUGCGUCGUAGUACGAAUUCCCCGCUCACCGCCCCCCGUCCUCCUCCUCCUCCUCCUUCUCCUCUCUCUCUCUCUCUCUCUCUCUCUCUCUGCAGGGCGGCAAAGGCAAGAAAGCCGCCGCCGCGUCCGCGACGCCCGCGGUGCAGCCCGUCGCGGUGAAGACGAAGAAGGGCACGGUCAAGCUCAACGCGGCCGCGCUGAAAGUGAAUAACGCGAAGGCCCCGAGCGCGGAGAUCCUCGAGGAGCUCGCCGCGCGAUUCGUCCUCAACUGCCCCGCCGAGGAGCUCAACUCGUUCGAGCGCAUCUUGUUUCUCGUCGAGCAAGCGCACUGGUACUACGAAGACUUCGUCAGGGAGGAGGAGGAGCACAAACACCGGCUGAAGUCGAUGUCGCUGAAGCAGUUCGCGGGGCUCAUGUUCAACAAGUGCGCGCCUCUGCGGCGGUACAAGGACAAAGUCGACGACAUCUACAAGGCGUUUACGAAUUACAAGCUCUCCGUCCCGGUCGGCGGCAUCAUCAUCCUGAACCCGGACAUGAGCAAAGUUCUGAUGGUGAAGACGUGGAAGGGCUCGUCGUGGGGGUUCCCGAAGGGGAAGAUCAACAAGGACGAGCCGGAGAGCGUCUGCGCGGCGCGAGAGGUGUUGGAAGAGGUUGGCGUCGACUUUUCCGCCUACGUCCGCGACGAAGACUCGAUCGUGAUGAACCGGGUCGUGGACCACGAGACCGGUCUGAAGCAGCGGAGCCGGCUGUUCAUCGUCGCCGGCGUCAGCGAAGAGACCGGGUUCGCGACGCAGACGAGGAAAGAGAUCGGCGCGAUCGCGUGGCACCCGAUAUCGACGCUCGCGGGCGGCGUAGUAGCGGGCGGGAAGUACUUCUUCGUGAAGCCGUACGUCCAGCCGUUGCUUAAGUGGAUCAAGGCGUCGAAGAAGAAGCGGAAGCGCGGCGGCGCGGGGGGUGGGGGGAAAGGCGCACCAGGGGGGGGGCUGGGCGCGCCCGCGUCGCCGGCGGGACAGACCGGCGGCGGCGCGGCGUUCGAGCCCGCGGCGCAGUACACGCCGAAGGGCGCAAAGGCGCCCGCCGCGCGGUUUCCGAGCUUCCUCGGCUUCGUCUUCGACCGCGUCAGGCGCGUUCUAUCUCACACUGGUCCCCAUACGACCCCGUCGGCGUGGUGAACGCCGUUCCUUAAGGACUUUACUUCCCGUCGUCUCUCUCCGCCCAGGGUCCCUCGCUUUCAAUCCCGACACACCUCGGCGCCUUUCAACUUCAACUGACGCCUUUCAACUCCACCCCGACGUUCGCUCGUAUGGAACGGCCCUCAGGGUGUCGCGAGCGCUCGAGGGGUGAGCGCGACGCGUCGAGUCAGGUAGACCGCGUUUGAACGCGUCGCUCGCCAGCCUUUCAACGCGUCGUAUCAUAUCGUAUCGUAUCGUAUCGUUCGUUCGCACGUCGUCGUCGUCGUCGUCGCGCGCGCCGCUGCCGUUCCCAGCUUUCGUUCUCGGUCACUCGCGCGCGACACGUCACGCUCACUCGAAAACUUCUAGAAGGAUUUUUUUCCCUUUACGCGCGGGGGGGGAUCGUCACACGCGACGCGCGCCUCCGCCUUCCUCGCGCGCGCGUCCCCCCCUUCGCGGCGCGCGGCGGGAGGGAGAGCGCGGGUUCGCGGCGCGUCAUGACCGACGGCGGCGACCGCGACGACGCGCGAGGGACGCCGCGCGACGGUCGCGGCGCGACGAUCCCCGAGGGCGACGAUUCCGCGGGGCGCUCGCCCGAGGGCGACGACGACAUGUCUUUACACGCGGAGGGCGCGACCGCCGCGGAUCAGCUCGCGCGCGCGGAGCUGAAGAAGCGGACGCUCGAAAUGUGGCUCGCGCUGAAGGACACGAGGGUGAAGCUCGAUCUCUACGGCGGGUGCGCAUUCGCGCGCGUUCUUCCCGUCCGUCCGCGCGACGCGUCGCGCGCCCUUCGUCCCCGCCCCCCCGCGAUUCUUUCUUCCGAACCACAGUGCACAGCUGAAAAAGCGACGCGUCACCGAACGAAUCGAUUUUUACUCAUCCCUCGUCGUCGUCCUCCUCCCACUCCUCGUCGCAGCGUGGAAGUAUCCGGGGUGUUCCAGGCCGUGGACGCCACGAGCGAGACGUUACUCGUGAGCGAGCUCGACAGCGGCGUCGGCGUCGUCCCGGUCGCGCGCGUGCGAUGGUCCGACGUCCUGUCGGUGACGACUUUGCCGCGACUGGAGCGCGAGAGCGAGAGCGCGCGAUGGGGUCGGGAACACUCGCGCGGGGGUUGACCGAGGCGCGCGAUCGGAUCGAUCGAUCGAUCGAUCGACCGACGUCGUCGCGCCUUCCCGUGUUGUACUGUGUGUGUGUUUGGGAGGCGCGAGCGCCGCGGUAGGGGAGGGGGCUGUGUUGUAGACGACCGGGUGAGUGAGAACCUGGUGUUGUUUGGUCGUAGACUUGAGCUUCAGUUGUAAACGCGAGAAAGCUUCGCGAUCGGUGUCGACGUUCGCUCCCCACUCGACGCGCGCGCGUCCCCGCGGGCGACGGUCCGUCCGUCGGGGAUGCCUCGCGACCGCGGCGGCGGCGGCCUCGCGCCGCGCCGCCGCCGCGCGACGGAGUUCGGAGCCCCCGCCGCCGGCGCCAAGGGCGACGGCGUCGUCGCGUCGCGAUCGCGCUACGAGAGCCUCGCGAUCUCGAGAGGACUCGCGCGACACGCCAACGACGACCCACACCGCGAGGAGGCCUUCACGCGCGCCGCGCUCGAGCUCGCGCACGUCCUCCGCGCGUGUUACGCGUCCUCGAGCAAGGACGCGAGGGAGGCGAUGACGCGAGACGCGAUCGCGGGCGCCUCGCGCGCGGCGCAUCUCGCGACGUCGAGACAGCUCGCGGCGUCGCACGCGCUGCGACGCGCGGCGGUCGCGACGCUGCCGAGCAAGCGACGCGAGGCGUUCGAGCGCGCGCACGCCGCGGCGGCGGUGACGCGCGCGCGGGACGCGAAGAAGCGUCGCGCGCGCGCGGCGGAGGCGGAGGCGGAGGCGGAGGCGGAGGAGGAGGAGCUCGACGACGACGCUCCGGACGACGCCGCGUCGCCGACGACGACGACGCGCGCGCGCGACCUCCCGGACGACGUCCUGCGCGCCGUGUUCGACCGUCUCAACCCGUGGGACCUCGGACGUUGCGCGGCGACGUGCGCGCGCUGGCGCGCGCUCGUCGCGGGCGCGGAGCGCGCGUGGAAGAGAGGAUGCGAAGACGCCGCGACGACGGCGGCGGCGGCGGAGCGAACGAGGAGCGCUCUCGGCGACGCCGCGUCGUGGCGCGACGCGUUCGUCGCGCUCGUCGCGACGUCGACGUCGACGUCGACAUCGCGCGCGGGGGCCCGCGAUGGAGGAAGAAGAACAGCGCCCGCGAUCGCUGAACCGUCCGGACGCGCGUGGUGCGAGCGGUGCGAGACGUAUCGAUGGACGUGGGACGACGGCGGCGACGGGGGCGUCGCGUGGCCGGCGGGGCACCGCGAUUCGCACCGCGUCCGGACGGGCGCGAUGGGCGCGGCGUUCGUCGUCGACCGGGUCCUCGGAGGGGGCGGGGAUGGCGACAGCGACAGCGACAGCGACAGCGACAGCGACAGCGACAGCGAUGGCGGCGGCGGCGGCGGCGGCGAGGCGACGGACGUCGCGCGGCGGAUGCGGUUGUGGAGGAUACGCGGGCAGUAGCGAGCGAGAGCGCGAGACGGGAACGAUUUAGGAUAGCCGACGAGUACGUACUGUAUUAACAAAAUAAUAAAACACGAGAGCGCGCCGUCGAAACACGACACGCCCCCUCGACUGGAUUUCUUCCUUUCGCGGCGGCGACGCGCGUCAGAAUCCGUCGAUGACGUCGUAGGCCUCCAUCACGACGAGCGCGAGAAACACGGCGUAUAAGAACACCAUGGACGCGCCCAAAAAUUUCGUCAUCCGCCACUUGCAAAAAGCGAUGAUCGAAAUGAUGCAGACGAUCAUGAUGAUGAGAAGCGUCAGCGCGAACCCCAGGGAUUCGCUGCUCACGGUCAUCGCUUUCGCGCUGUGCGCGGCGGACCACAGCAGCCACGGAAGCGGGAGACCGAACGUGAUGUCGAAGAUGUUUGAGCCGAUGGACGACGACACCGCCAUGUCUCCGAGGCCUUGACGCGCGACGAUCACAGAGGACAAAAGGUCCGGCACGGACGUCCCCGCGGCGAGGAUCGUGUACCCCAUGACGACGUCGUCGAUGCCGAGAACGUCGCCGACGACGGUCGCCCACCACACCAUGAAGUACGAGAAGAAGCCGAUGUAAAAGAUGCUCUCGAAAAACACGACCAUGAACAGAUGCGUCUUCUUCUUGCAGUUCGGGACCGUGUAAUAGAAGAGGUACAUUAGCGGCGCGGCGAUGACGUAGUAGAUCUGCGCGGCUUUGCCCUCCGGCCACGAGAGGUCGAUCCCCUCGUCGUCGUCGUCGGCGUCCGCCGCGACGGCGGCGGCGGGCUUCGCGAUGUUCUUCGAGAACUGCCGCGAGAUUUUCCGCUUCAUCUGCGGCGCCGCGGCAUCCGCCGACUCCGUCACCGGUCCGGGGGGAACGCGCGCGCGCGUCGUCUCCGCGGACUCGUUCACCGGGCCUUUGCCCUUCGGCAGCGGCGACACUUGGUUACCCUUCGGUUUGCCUCCGUCUCCGUGCUUCGCGUUCUCGUUGUGCCCCAAGUUCCUCGACACUUCCUUCACGAAAUCCGUCUGCUUCAGAACCUUCACCUUUACCCACGUCUCCACGCGCGCGUUGAACUUCAUGAAGAUCACGUACAUGACGUAAAAGAAAAGCAUCAGACCAGACUCCCACACGCGCGUCGUCUCCGCGGACUCGUUCACCGGGCCUUUGCCCUUCGGCAGCGGCGACACUUGGUUACCCUUCGGUUUGCCUCCGUCUCCGUGCUUCGCGUUCUCGUUGUGCCCCAAGUUCCUCGACACUUCCUUCACGAAAUCCGUCUGCUUCAGAACCUUCACCUUUACCCACGUCUCCACGCGCGCGUUGAACUUCAUGAAGAUCACGUACAUGACGUAAAAGAAAAGCAUCAGACCAGACUCCCACAUCGCGAUCUUCUCGUCCUGGAAGAACACGUACAGCAUGCAAAGGUCGAAGACGUAGAACGUGCAAUCUCUCGCGAGCGGCCACCACGUGAGCUCCAAGACUUCGUACGAGAAAAACGCGCACGCGCCGAUGACGAAGAGCACGUUGAACACGGCGCUUCCGAUGAUGGUGCCGAAACCGACGUUGCUCUUCGCGAUGAAGACGCCGAUGAGGGACGUGAAGAGCUCCGGGGCGGACCCGCCCGCGGCCAUGAACGUCGCGCCCGCGACGUCGUCUUCGAUCUCGUACCUGUCGCACAAGACCUCGAGCGCCGGGACGAAGAAAUCGUCGCAGAUUAUCGCGAUCGCGAUGAACGUGUACAGGACGCCGACGACGUGGAGCAUGAAGAAGCCGCUCUUGUUUUGGCUGUCGCUGAACAGGUCGGGGGGGUAGAGCUCGCCGAGGAGGCUCCUGCCCGCGCCGCCGCCGUCGCGCUCGUGCGGGUGGUCGAUACCGAGCGCGUCUCUCGCCGCGGACGCGAGCGCGGACGUGUGCGCGCUCACGAGUCCCAUCGUCGCGGCGGCGACGAGGAACACCGUCGCGCGCAUGAUGCGGACCUGCUUGCGCCCGGCCCUCGUGCGCCGCAUGCGCGCGAGGGAGCCUAACAUCGCGCCCGCGCGCGUGACUCGCGGCGUUGACGAGCCCGCGGGAGGGCGACCGUCGGGGGGGCGAUUCAACAACGACGCGCGUAACACGUGCGCGCCUCCUUGCCGUUGCGAGUCUCAACCCAAAUGCAGCGACGAUUGUUGAUUACGGGGAUCGCGCGUCCCGUCCCCGCGCGCGCCGUCUCUCCUCGCGACGACGGCGCCUCGCGCGGGCGACGUUCCGUUCGUACGACGCUUCGAGCGCGCGCGCGAAAUUAGCAGCGCGGAGUGGUUCGCGCGCGCGGCGAGCCGCGGUGUGACGCGGGCGCGUGAAACGUGACGCACGAUCGUAAUUUCCCACGCGGCGCGGUUCGGAUCAUCAUCAAUCAACUUUUAUCGGACAGGACACCCCGCGACCAUUCAGCGCCCAUUUUUGAAAGCACAACACGGCGAAUGUUUGAAAGCAAAACACGGUGAAUGUUUGAAAGCAAAACACGGUGAAUUCGAAAGCGCGGGGAUCUCCCGGCGAAAAAACGCGUGAACGUGGAUUGGAGCGCCGCUUUUUUGGGCACGUGGAAUGUAGGCAGAGAUGUAGGCAGCCUCAGAUCCCAGAACGCGGCGCCUCGAACGGACGACGUGAUGUCGUCGGCACCGGACGCGCCGAAGCGGAAGCUCGAAGACGUCGUCGACGAUCCGUCGGCGGGAGCGUCGGAGGGACGAGCCGCGGACGACGCGUCGACCGAGCGCGAGGUCCCCGCGUCGGAAGCGGAAAAUCCAGGUGAAAAGAUCUCGUCAGCAGCGGGCGCGUCUCCCGACGCUCCGCACGUCGUGCCGACGGAGGGCGCGCGCGCGUCCGUCUCCGUGGAGGAGCUCCUGGAGUCGCACCUGGAGUCCACGCGCGUGCACCGCCGCGGCGCGCUCGCGUGGGCGUUCUUCCCGUCCGCGCUGUUCCACCCCGCGCUGCCCGAGCCGAGCGGCGAUUCCGUCGUCGUCGCGGCAGAAAAGAACGGCGACGACGACGUCGCGGAGCUCAAGCCCGGAGUCUUCGGCGCGACCGCGACGAAAGAGGGCGCAAAGUACGUCACGUGCGUCGCGUGCCACCCGAACGGCAUCGCCGCGGAGGACGCCGCGAGGCUGUGGCGCGGGAAGCAGACGGGCGUGUUCAAGUACCACUGGAGAACGGGUCAACGGAGCAUCACCGAGCACGUGGCGAACAACCACGCGACGCUCGUGGCGGAGUUGGAGGACGCCAAGCGCGUUUACCUCGCGAAGAACGGCGGUUCCGAGAUGGGGGGGCUGGGGGGCGGAUCAGCGGCGAAGUUCGGAGUGGGCACGGGCGCGGCGCACCACGCGAACGGCGGCGGCGGUUUCAGCGGCGGGAGCAGCAGCGGCAGCGGCGGCGGCGGCGCGCGCGGUGCCGGCGGCGGCAGAGGAAAGAAUAAGAAGCACAAGAAAAACGUCCUAAACGUCGAGCGCGGCGCCGACGCGCUCGCCGCGCUGAGCAACGGCGGAACGAUCCUCGGCGGGUUGUUCCCUGCCGACCGCGCGACGUCUCGAGGCGGCGUCUCGAACGUCGCACUGGAGCUCCUCGACGGCGUUCUCGGCGGCCCGGCGGCGGCGACGACGACGGAUUCGAUCGCCGUCGGGUUGAGCGCGUUUCUCCAAAACUCAGGUGCGUUCUAUACAAAAGUUUUUCACCCAUCGCCCGGUUUCAACACUUGAUCGCGUCCCCUUUCAACUGACCGGUGAACUUUUUUUGUAUGGAAUGGCCCUCAGCCGCCGCAAACGCGCUGUCGUCGGGGCGCGACUCAUUCGGCGGCAUCGCGCUCGAGGCCGCCCCCCCCGUCGGCGGCGGCGUCGACCGCCCGCGGAUAAUCGACCUUCGAAGCGACACGGUGACGAAACCGACGCAGACGAUGCGCGCGGCGAUGGCGACGGCGAUUUGCGGCGACGACGUCUUCGGGGACGACCCGACGGUGAAAGAUUUAGAAAUCGUCGUCGCGGCGGCGUUCGGGAAAGAAGCCGCGCUGUUCGUGCCGUCGGGAACGAUGGGGAACCUGAUCGCCGUCGGCGUGCACUGCGAAGUCAGAGGAAGCGAGUUCAUCUGCGGCGAUCUGUCGCACGUGCACAUAUACGAGCAAGGCGGGUUAUCGACGCUGAUGGGCGCGCACCCGAGGGCGCUCAAGAACGAAGACGACGGCACGAUCGAUCUCCAGCGGAUACGAAACGCGUUCCGGUCGGACGACCAGCACUUCCCGCGCACGACCGUGCUGUGCAUCGAGCAGACGCACAACAAGAAGGGCGGGCGGGUGCUGCCGCUGUCGUACGUCGACGACUGCGGCGCGUUGUGUAAGAGCCUGGGGAUUCAGUUGCACGUCGACGGCGCGAGGAUAUGGAACGCGGCGAUCGCGCAAGGGGUAACCCCCGCGCGCGCGGUCCAAGCCGCGGACUCGGUGUCCGUGUGCCUGAGCAAAGGCCUGGGCGCGCCGGUCGGGAGCGUGAUCGUCGGGAGCGCGCCGUUCAUCGCGAAGUGCCGGCGGCUGCGAAAAGCGUGCGGCGGGGGCAUGCGGCAGGCGGGGACGCUCGCGGCGGCGGCGAUGAUGGCGCUGCGCGAGGUGUGGCCCGUCAUGAGCCUGGACCACGUCCGCAUGAAGCGGCUCGCGGCUGGGUUGCAGAAGAUCCCGGGCGUGGAGGUGUCCUCCCCGAUCGAGACGAACAUCUGCUUCGUGACGUUUCCCCCCACGGCGGACGUCGGCGACGUCGUCGUGGCGUUGAAGCGCGAACACGAGAUCGUCGUCAUCCCGUGGACGACGCCCAACUCGAUUCGGAUCGUGACGCACCACGAGAUCAACGACGCGGCGGUGCAGGCGGUCGUCGACGGCGUGACGCGGGUGCUGGCGAACAUGUACAGAGGAGGGAGAUAGAACAGAUACUAAGAGAGAAGGGGACGCGCCGACGCUAAAAGCUGUGCUACGCGACGGCGUCGUAAUAAAAAAAAACCGCCCGACGCUCAACAUGCCGACCACGAUGAAACGACGCGCGCGUGUGCGAACGUGCGAACGUGCGAACCGCGUCCGCGUCGUCGCUUCGCUUCAGCUUCACUUCUUCUUCCCCGGCGUCCACUCGCACGCGCUGCCCUCGGCGACCGCCGCCGCCGCCGCCGCCUCCGCUUUUUUUUUCCCCGGCUUCCACUCGCACGCGCUCCCGGCCGCCACCGCGCCUCCCGCGCCGCCGGCCAGCUUCUCCCGGUGCGCCGCCUGCGUCUUCAGCGCCUCGCGCACGCGGUGCUGCAACGGACCGUACUUCCCGCUCGAGAUCGUCUCCAAAAAUGCCGAAGGGUCCACCUCGAUCGGCCGGUCCCUGUCGCUCGCGACGACGCAGACGAAACCGAACGGCUCCUUCGCGUCCUUCUCGCAUCGCAACUGGUGCACGUCCAUCGGCGCGGUGUACGCGACGUCGCCGACGUUCACCGGGUACACGCGCGGGCCGAGUUGCACGACCCCGGACCCGCGCACGCCGACGACCGCGUGCUCGUGCUCGUGCUUCUCGAGCGUCGUCCACCCGCCGGGGGCGACUUCGAAGUACCGGACGUGGAACACCGUGGACUCGCCGCGCUUGCCCAAGAGUUCGUACCGGCUGCAUCCGCUGAACGACGCGCCGUCCAUCUUGUACAUCUCCUGCGGGAUGCGGUCCCACGACCAGUCCGCGAGCUUCGGGCGGUGGAAGACUUUAGAGUAGUUGCCGUCCACGGGCGUGGGCGGCGCGGCGACGCCGGGGGGGAGCGUCCCGCCCGCGCCCGCGCCGCCGCCGCCGUUGGACACGAGCGUCGUGAGCCGCUCGAGCUUCGCCUCGACGCUCGCGUACUGCGCCCUGAGCGCCUUGAGCUCGCGACUCUCCGCGGUCUCCGCGGGCGCGGCGGAAGGACUAACUGGGGGAGGAUGAUGGUGAUGCACUUUCGGCGCCGGAACUUUCGCGAACGGCGCCCCGCCGGCGUCGUUCGCGUACGGACUCUUCCUCGCCUUCGCGAGGUUCGCCGGCGACGCCGCGGUCAUGGACUCGAACGCGGCGCCGAACCCUUUGUAGUCGUCCGGCACGCGCGGCGGCGCGGGGGAUAAAGACACGCGACCAGGGUGCGCCGCCGCCGUCGAGAGAGACACGGCGCCCUCGGGCGCGGGCGAGAGAGACACGGCGCCCGCGCGCGGGGAGCGAUCGCGAUGGCGACGCUCGCUCGCGCUCAGCCUCGGCGACGACGACGACGACGCGUGAACGCCGCCAAAACCGCCAUGCUCGCCGCGGACGUUCUCGAGCGGCCCGUACGUAUCCUGCCUCCCCGCGACGCCCAAGAAGUGCCGCGCGUUCGCGACCAAAUCCGGCGAGUGCCCCAUCAGCGACCCGCCGAUGAGAAGCAUGACGUCCUCGCCGUAGACCUCGUUCAUCUUCCGCACUCUCUCUAACGUCAUCCCGCCGCCGGGGCAGGGCACGAUCGCGGGCGUUGACCCCAACUUUUGUCUCGACCCGAGCGCGAUGUCGCGGCACUCGCGCUCGCUGAACCCGAACCUCCCUCCGAAGGACGGGAAGAUGGUCGCGUCCGCGCCGCAGAGCCGCGGCAAAAUACCGAGCAACACCUUAUGCGAGAAUCCUCGGAUCGGGACGUCGUCCGGACCGUCGCUUCCGCCGCCGAGCAUCGCGCCUAAUAUCGCGGGGUGGCACACGAUCGGAAGCCCGAAGGAUGGGUCCUCCGCGAGCCGUCGCAUCGCGUCCAGGCCGCCGAUCCCUGGGAUCAUGAGCACCGCGCCGGCGCCGCACGCCUAAGGGUCGUUCCGUACGAGCGAAUGUCGGGGUGGAGUUGAAAGGCGUCAGUUGGAGUUGAAAGGCGUCGAGGGCGGGGAUUGAAAGCGAGGGGUGAUGGGCGGAGAGAUGCGACGGGAAGGAAAGUCCUUAAGGAUCAGCGUUCACCACGCGAACGCGGUCGUAUGGGGACCAGUGUAAGGAGAACGCACCUUGGCGAACUUCGCGCGCGGAACGAUCAGAUCCGCAGGCGCGUUCAGACACGGCGCGUACACGCACCGCCGUCCCGUCUCCGCGUUCGCGCGCCUGACCGCGGCGCAGCACGCGCGCACGCGCUCCUCGUACGGCGCGUAGUUUUGAUUCGCGAGGCCGUGGUCGUCUUUGAUGAGAUCGAUCCCCCCCUUUGCGAAAUCGUACGCCAUGGACGCGAGCGCCUCGGGGUCGUUCCAUACGAAGCGAUGUCGGGGUGGAGUUCAUAGGCGUCAGAAGCGGAGUUGAAAGGCGUCGAUGGCGGGGAUUGAAAGCGAGGGGUGGGCGCAGAGACACGCCGGGAAACGUCCUUAAGGAUCGGCGUUCACCACGCGAACGGGGUCGUAUGGGGACCAGUGUGAGAUAGAACGCACCUCGACGUCGCUCCCCAUGGGUUUCAGCGCCGUCAUGAGCAUCGGCCCGCGCAGAACGCCCAGGAUCUCGCGCAGCCCUCUGACCCCGUGCCGCGGCCCGAAGAAGGACGACAGCAGCGACGGCGACAGCGCGAGGUCGGUCACCAUGACGUUCUCCUUGAUGGACGUGUUCCCGAACAGCACGUUGAGGAGUUGCGGGAUCUCGCCCCCGGUCGUGUUGUCGUGAUAUCGCACCACCGCCUCCCAUCGCGUCAGCGCGCUCUGGCGGUGAGGACGAUGAGGAGGACGUUGCGUCGUCGUCGUCGUCGUUUCAAACGCGGUGUUGGCGCCUUUCGAUUUCGGCUGCCACGCGCUCCUGCGAAGCGACUCGCACUUCCCGACGACGUGUUCGUGGAUCCACGUCCCGGGCGGGACGAGCUCGAGCGGGAGCUCCACGGUUUGCUCCAGGCACAGCGCGUCGACGAUCGCCCUCGCGGCGGGUUCGUCGCGCGCGGCGAUCGUGUACGUCACGCGGAAGUGCGGCGGCGGCAUCGCGGCGGACGCGGCGCGCGCGCGGGGGGGGCGGGCCGGGGCCGGCGGCGCGCGCGUGGAUGGAUGGGUGACGACGACGGCGCGUCCGGUGCCGAGAGCCGACUUGAGAGAAAAAUACCGGUGACGGCGAGAAGGAUUUUUUGCUGCAGGCGCGCCACGGGCCAACGCGGUCGAUACCACCCUGCUGACCGGCGAGCGAGGCCUCUGAUCCUAAAAAUCGGUCGUGUUGAUCGGCAAAAAUCCCGCCAGUCACCGACGCGGACGCGAGGCCUGCGGCGAGAAGUGCGUUUCGAAGUUUCUCGAAAUUCCAUCUCGUAUGGGCAAUCAGUCACACGUGUCAGCCCCGAAAGGUCGAAAACGCGGCGCUUUCGGCAAGUGAAAAUCUUGGUUGACCUUUCGCGUUCGGACAGACGGCCUCCUCUCGAUCGGACACACGUUGAUCGGACGCGACAUUCGUCGCCGCGUCGCGCGCGAAUCCGACGGGGCGCGGACGGCACGCACGGCGCGAUGACGUCCGCUCGGAAUAUCGCGCCGGAGAGCCCGACCUCGAAGGCCGGCUCGCCGUUAGGGAGCAACAAGAGCUCGCCGUCGCGCCCGCCGAUCGCGCGCAAAUCGUACAACACCCUCGAGGGCGUGGAGAACCUUGGGACGACGCACCUGGAGUGGGGCGAGUACAAGCUCCUUCGGAAGAUCGGCGUCGGCGCGUUCGGCGAGGUCGCGGCGUAUCGCAACGUGAACAGCGGUCGAUCGCUCGCGGUGAAGAUGCUCAACAAAGCGGCCGCUGUGGACGAGAAGGCGAUCGAGGACCUCGAGAGCGAGGUCUUGCUCCUCUCGAUGCUCUCGCAUCCGCACCUCGUCUCUCUCGAGGGCGUCGGGUACCUCCCCGUCAGCGGCAAGCUGUUCGUCGCGACCGAGUUCCUGGGCGCCGGGAACUUGCAGAAGCUCGUGCAGGAGGCGUCCGUGACCCCGGGGCGGUUCAACGACGCGGACAUCACGAAGUGGAUGUUGCAGAGCGCCGAGGCGCUCGCGUAUUUGCACUCGAGGGAUCCGCCGAUCGUGCACCGCGACCUCAAACUCGCGAACAUCGUGCUGGACGGCAACUACGACGCGAAGAUCAUCGACUUCGGGUUAGCGCGGAUGAUGGGCGUGGAGAAGGUCACGACGACGGUGCGGGAGAGCUUCGGGCCGGGGUAUUCGAACGCGAGCUCGGGCGCGGCGUCGCGCGCGUCCUCGGAGUCGCCGAACGGCAGCCGCGAGAGCUCGCUUCGGCACGGGUUGGCGCUCAUCUCGGAGCACAAAGACGGCAGCGGCAGCAACUCCGGGCGGGAUUCGCCCCCGAUACUCGGGGGGAUUUCGAAGAAGAAGAACUACGCCAAGCAGAAGACGGACAGCGGCGGGAAACCUCUGUAUCUCAUGACGGGCGGCACGGGGAGUUUCAAGUACAUGGCGCCCGAGGUGUACAAGGGAGAGCCGAUGAACGAACGACUGGACGUGUACUCGCUCGCGAUGAUCGCGUACGAGCUCCUCACGAGGCAGAUUUUCUUGACCGGGAUGUAUAAGAACCUUCACAACGGGUUCACGCACGAGUACGACGCGGAGGAGUGGGCGAGCGAGGCGGCGAUCGACGAACGACGGCCGCCGCUCGAGGCGGUGUCCGAUUUCGAGUGGAAAGAGCUCCUCCCGUCGAUGUGGAUCGGGGAGGUGGGGAAGAGGAUGAGCGCGUCGCAAGCCGCGGAGGAGCUCAGGGCGAUGCACGAGAGGACGAAAGAGAAAUGCACAGCCCCGGGCGCGAUGCAGCCGCAGUGCGGCUGCGUGCUGAUGUGAUCGAUGACGACCGCGGUCGAACGAUCGAUCGAACGAAAGCGCGACGAGGAGAGUAGCGUACUAAGUACAAAAGUACUUUCGUAACUACACGUACACUGUAGUGAUCUAAACGAUCUAAACGGCAGAGCCAACGAGGACCACGGAAAGCUGCUCGCUUCACUUUUUUGUCUGUAUCCAACGUAUUAGAGCUACCAUAUCACAUCUGCCGCGCGUCGAGCAUGUACUUCAGCUAGUACUUCAGUCCCACGUUCACGAUGGACGUCAGGCGGUCCGGGAGCCCCUCGUCGUUCACGACGUCGUCCCCGACGUUCGCGACGUAGUCGAUGUCCUCCCCCCAUCGAACCUCCGUGGCGCGCGCGACUUCUUUUUCCAACUCGGCGAUUUCCUCGCGCAUCGCCGCGGCGCGCGUCUCCGCAUCCGCCGCGGCGUCCAAACGCGCCGCCUCCGCCUGCAGCGCCCUCUCCUCCGCUCUGACCGCGGCUCGCUCCGCGUCCAUGAGCUUAUCUAACGCCUCUUUGGCGUGCGUUUCCGCGAGGUGCUGCGCGCGUUUGGCUUGCUCCGCCGCUUCCGUCGCGCGCGCCAGCCGCGCGUUCAAGUCCAAAUUCACAGCCUCCGCCUUUUCCAAUCGCGGGUCCCCGUCCGCGUCGUAGAACACCGCCUCUCGCGCCUUCUUCAGCGCUCGCUCCAUCGCGGACGUCGCCUCGUCCGCUGCGAGCGCGCGGCUCUCCGCGACCGCGGCAGCCUUCUCCCACUUCGCCGCCUUGAUCGCGUACGCGCGCGUCUCGUCUCGCGCCUCGGACACGCGUUCCUCCUCCCGCCUGACGCGUUCUUCCAACUCCGUCGCGUACGCGGCUCUUCGAUCGGACAGCGCCUUGGCGCGCGCGAGCUGCGCCUCCGCCGCCUCCCUCGUCUCCGCGGCCGCGCGCUUGGACUCCGCGACGGCCAUCCUCGCGAGCGAUGCGGCGUCGUGCGCAGCCUCCGCCUCCGCCUCCGCCCUGGCGGCGGCGUCGUCGGCGAGCCUCGCGUCCUCCCUCGCGCGCGCCAGCUUGUCCCGCAACACCCGUUGCGCCUCUCUCCCGAGCGCCUCCGAGCGCGCGACCGCGUCGGCUUCCUCUUUCAAGACGCACGCGGCCGCGCGCACGAGCUGCGUCUCGUCCAGCGCGGACAUCUUCGCCGCGCGCGCGCGGUUCGCGUCGUCCUCGGCCGACGCGCGCGCGGCGACGGCGGCGCUCACCGUCGCGCGCAACCGCCGGCCCUAUACAAGCGAAAGUCGGGUUGGAGUUGAAAGGCGUCAGUUGGAGUUGAAAGGCGCCGAGGGCGGGUAUUGAAAGGGAGGGGUGAUGGGCGGAGAGAUGCGCCGGGAGAUAAAGUCCUUAAGGAUCGGCGUCCACCUCGCAAACGCGGUCGUAUGGGGACCAGUGUACAGAACGCACCUCCUUCGCGGCGGCGAGCUCGACGAGGUACGCCCUCGGCUCGCCGCGUCUUCGUCUCGUCGCGUUGUCCGGCGGUAUCACAUCGUCGCAUAUCGUCGCCCCGCCGCCGGAGACGAGCAUCACGCCCGCGCGGUGCGGGAACAUCGCGUGGGUCACGCGGUGCGCCGCGCCCGGCGGGGAUUCGCUCGGCGCCGCCGCGCCGACGCGGAGUCGCCGCCACGUCAGCGCGUCGAGCUCCAGCGCGUAAACGACCGCGUCGGACACCGCGCCGCCGUCGACGCCGACGCCGCCGCACGCGAGGAGGAGGUUCCCGACGACCGUCAGCGCGUGCUUCGCGCGAGGGGUGGGGAACGGCGACGGCGGCGCCGGCGGCGACGCGAGCACGGAAAUCUCCGCGGCGACGCCGAAUCGCGAAAUCGGGGACGCGUCGUCGCGCGCCUCCUCCUCGGACGCCGCGACCGCAUCCGGCGGGAGCCGCGUCCACGCGCAGGUCGUCGCGUCGAAGGCGUACGCGUCACCGAGGGUCGCGCCGUCCGCGGCGACGCCGCCGUGGACGAACGUUCGCCCGCGCGCGCCCGGCGCCGUCGCGCACGCGGCGUCUCUCCUCGGGCACGGGACGUCGCCGUACUGUUCCGGCGAGCACCACCGCAGCGACGCGACGUCGAAGCGCCACAGGUCGUUGACGAGCCCGACGCCGCUCUGGUAUCCGCCGUGAACGAACACGUCCGGCAUGGUCCCGGGUUCGGGCGCGGGCGCGAACGCGACGGCGUGCGACCGCGGCGGCGGCGGCGGGGAGAAGAGCGCCCUCGGGAGUCGCACCCACUCCCACUCCGGGGGCGCGAACUCGUCGUCGCGCGGGUCCUCCUCGUCUGAAACGUCCGAGAGGUCGUCGCCUGAACCGCCGCGCUGCUUCGCGGCGGUCUNNNNNNNNNNNNNNNNNNNNNNNNNNNNNNNNNNNNNNNNNNNNNNNNNNNNNNNNNNNNNNNNNNNNNNNNNNNNNNNNNNNNNNNNNNNNNNNNNNNNUUCUUCGGAACCGUUUCCGGCGAAUCAACGCGCACGCCUCGGACGUUUCAGCCUUCAGACGCGGGUCGAACCCGCCGUACACGAAGACGCCGCCGACGACGUCCGCGGGGUCGGCGCCGCCCGCCGCCGCCGCGGUGGCCGCCGCCGUCGCUGACAACGCGCAGAUCGCGGGGUUCUGCACCGAGACCGGCGCGUCCCCGACCGGAGCGAUCGCGGCCCACGCCAACUUCGGCUCGUAGUCCCAACUCGCGUCGGCGCCCCCGGCGUCGUCGAUUUCGACGCACGUCACCGCCAUCCGCGGCGCCGCGUCUUCGUCCGUCGCCGCCGCGUCCUUCUUCUUCCUCCUCUUCUUCGCAUCCCCCCCCUUCGUCGCCGUCGCCGUCGUCGUCGUCCCGUCGCCGCCGGGAAGGAUCGUGACGACGCACCCCCUCGCCGCCGGCUCGACGUCGCCGUCGCCGUCGCGGUAGGGCAAGAACACCGGCGCGAGCGCGUCGCACUCGAGGUCCGACGCCGCCGCGUCGCCGGCGACGUCCUCCGCGCCCGUGCCAAUCAGCUCCCUCCACGUCAGCGGCGACUCCAACACGCCGCCGCCGCCGGGCGCGAGGACGCUCGCGCGCGCCUCCGCAGCCUCGAGCAGCGCGCGCGUCUCCGCCUCGCGCGAGGAGGCUUUCCGAGCGGCUUCCUCGGAGACGUCCGACGCGCGUCGAAGCGCGUCCGCCUCGGCGCGAAGCGUCGUCAUCGCCUCCGUCGCGUCGCUCGCUCUCUCGACCGCGGCGCGCGCGGCGGAUCGCGCGGCGGCGUACCGCCACUCGCGCAUCGCGUUCUGGGCGCAUCGCAGCGCCGCGUUUCGCUCGCCGCGUCUCAACAGCGCGCGGUAUUUCGCGCUCUGCGACGCCGCCGCGCGCCAACGGACGACGGCGGCGAGCGUCGCGCUUCUUCGCGCCGCCGCCGAAGCUCGCGCGUCCGUCGCCCACGCGUCGAACGCCCGGGCGACCCUGCGCUUCUUUUGCAUCGCGCGCAUCCUCGCGACGGCGACUUUCAUGACGCGCCACCCGCCCGCGAUGUCCCUCCACGCGCGCAUCUCGCGUCGAAGGUGCGUCUUUAUCGUCGCCUUCACGAACCCUCCGACGCGGCGUCUCAAGCGCGCCGUCGCGCGCGCGUCCGCGGCCCAGGACCGGAACACCUCGAGGUAUCUCCGUCGGUGCGCGCGCGACAGCUUCCCGGCUCCCAUCUUCGCGAAGACGCGCGCGCGCCAGACGUGCUCUUUCCACCUCCGGAACAUCCACCGGUCGCGGCUCUUACGCGCUCGGACGCGCAACGCGGCGAGGUCGUGCGCCAGCCGGCGACGCGCGGCGGUGAACUCCCGACGCCACUCCCUCCACGCGAUCGCGCGGCGGUGCAUCUCGUGCGCGCGCUUCAUGCGCGCGAGUUUCCUCUCGACGCGCGCCUUUUCGCUCGCGACGACGCGCCACGCGCCAAACGUCGCCGCGACCGCGAACCGGUCGCGCUUGCGGUACAAGUCUGAAGCCUUCCGCGCCGCCUUCCUCGCGUUCGCGUACGCCCGCCGCGUCUCGCUCGCCCACCCCAAGAACGCGGCGCGCGAUCUGCGCGACCGCGUCAUCACCCCGACGCGAUCGCACGCGGUUCGAACGCGCCACACCCAUCGUAUCGUGUUCGUGAACUGCGUAAACGCCGCGCGCGUCUGAAUCUUUUUCCACUUGGGCCCGGCGCGUGAUUGGAGCGACCUCGACGCGCGUCGUUUCCGCGCGUAGAUCCUCAACGCCGCGAGCGCCGCGCGCAGGCGCCCCUCCGCGAACUUCACCGCGCUGCGCUCGAGCGAUCGCACGACGACGUUGUUCAGCGUGCGCCGCUCCGCGAAGUUGUCCGCGAGCGCCUCGUUCCUCGCGUUGGUAGCCGCGACGUCCACUUGCGUUCGAGCCUCCGGGUCGUUCCAUACAGGCGAACGUCGGGGUGGAGUUGAAAGGCGUCAGGUGGAGUUGAAAGGCGUCGAGGACGGGAAUUGAAAGCGGGGGGUGGGCGGAGAGAUGCGCCGGGCAAAGUCCUUAAGGAUCGGCGUCCACCACGCCAACGCGGUCGUAUGAGGACCAGUGUAUAGAACGCGCCUCCUUCUCUCGGCGCUCCGCCUCCUCAAGACGCGCGCGCAACGCUUUGUUCUCGUCCUCCAGUCGUAAUAUCGCGACGUACUGCCCGCGCUCGCGCUGGUACAGCGCGCCGCGAGAGGACGAAUCUCGAUGACCGUUGACGCCUCCCUGCGCGCUCAUCGGGCUGUCGCCGCCGCGGAGGGGCGCCGCGGGCGUCGGCGUCGCCCCCGGGGGCGACGCCGGGGGCGCGUUCGCGUUCAUCUCGUUCAUCGUCGCCUCCGCCUCCGCGCGGAGCUUCUCCGACGCGCUCGCUCCCUCGAUCGCGGCCUGCGCGCGCGCAGCCUCUUCCGUCAGCCUCGCGCGCAUCGCGUCCAGCUGCUUCGACAGCGCGAGUAUCGCGCCGUCUUUCGCCGCGGCGCGUCCGGACGCGCCCGCCUUUUUCAGAUUAAACGCGCUCCCGUCCGCCACCGCGGCCGCGGCCACCACCUCCGCCGCGCUCGGCGCGUCGUCUCUCCGCGCGGCGCGCCCCGGGGACGAAGAAGCGACGUACACGGACGGCUCGAACGUCGUCGGCGUCGCGGCGCGCGCCGCGGGGGACGCGUCGCGCGAUCCCCCCCGAGAGGAGCCCGCGCGUCUUGUUGAGCCGUUGUCGUCGUCCACGGUACCACGACGUCGCGCGUUUCCGCCCGGCGGUCCGUCGCCUCGACUCGGCGAGCUCGACCGCGCGGACACCGGAUGCGAGGAGCUCCCCUCGACCCAGGACUGCCGCGCUUUCGGCGGGGACGCGCUCCCUCGCGGGGACGUGCCCCUGGACGACAUCGCGGGGGGCGCGUGCGGAGGAGCGAGCGCGCGUCGUCGUCAAUGCCGAUGCGUGCUGACAUCUCGCGGGCCCGCCAGCACGAACGGUCACAAAAAAGUCACGCUCGCUCUCCGAGGGAGGAGCGAAAUCUAAUUCAUUCGGUCCGCGCGCGCCCGUCGCGAGCGCCACGCACGAUGAGCGGCAAGAAGGAGACCGUCCUCGAUCUCGGGAAGUUCAUCGACAAGGGCGUCCGGGUCAAACUCAGCGGCGGCCGCGAGGUGACCGGGACGCUGAAAGGGUUCGAUCAGCUCUUAAACCUCGUCCUGGACGAGUGCGUCGAGAGCCUGCGCGAUCCCGAGGACCCUCUGAAGAUAUCCGACAAGACGCGGAAACUCGGGCUGAUCGUGUGCCGCGGGACGUCCGUGAUGGUCGUGAGCGGGUUGGACGGCAUGGAGGAGAUCGCGAACCCGUUCACGGAGGGUGGGGAGGCGGUGAUGGACGGGCCCGCGGAGUGAUCGUUCGAUCGUUCGUUCGAUCGAUCCGUCGAUCUCGCGCGGGGGCGAUUUUUAGGGCGGGGCCGAGAGGACGGCGAUCGAGGGAGCGCGCGGCGGCUCGGGGGAGGGAUAGACGAUUAUAAUAGUAACGCGAGACUUCGCCCUCCGCGAACAUCACGCGACGCGACGACGCGCAAACCGAGGACCAGCGCCGAUACUCUUCGGCGGGUCGCGCCAGCGCGCGAAAUUCAUCCACGCGCGAGAGUCUUCGUCACGGCAACUGCCUCUGAAACGCCGCGGCAGAAUCUCCCCGCGCGGGGCAGCGCGUCGUCCUCCGCGGCGCGUCCACUCUCCGCGGCGGAACGGAACCGGCGCGGCGGCGGCGUGCACGCGCGCGCGCCGUCAUCCUCCUCCUCCUCCUCCUCCUCGUCCGUCGGUCGCUUUCUUCUCCGCGCGCGUCGCGGUCGUCAUGGCGCUCGCGGUCAAGACCGAUUUUGAAGUGGACGAGCGCGCGCGCGCCCAGCGCGCGUCCGAACUCCGCGCGCGCGACUACGAAGCGUGGCUCGAGGACGCGAAGGAGGGAUGGCGGCUCAUCGCGAAGAAACGCGCCGCGCUCAGGUCGUUCGUGAAGAAGGAGAACGACCUCGACGCGGUCGCCGGGGGCGGAUCUCGGGGGAUCUCGGACGCGAAGCGCGCGCGAUUCGCAGCGCUCGAGCUCACCAACGUGCACGCGCUGUCGAGAGACGAGCAGAAAAAGUCGAAGAAGCCGAAGGGCGGCCUCACGCGAUGGCGUCUCGCGAAGCUCGACGACCUCGUCUUGGGCGAGGCCGCGACGUUGCAGCAGGCGGUGCGCGCGUUGGCGCGGUUGCGCGCGAGAGAGGCGGAGGAGGAGGCCGAGGGGGUCGCGCCCGGGUCGCUGCUCGACGAGGAGGACCGGAUGACGCGGCUGGAGUUAUUCUCCAUGGGCACGCGAGCGGGGAGGCGCGAGGGGAACGUCGACGGAGAUGAGGAUGAUGAUGAUGAGGAGGACGAGUUGGAGCGAGACGACGGGAUGAGGGGCCCAGGGGGAGGAGGCGCGUAUGGGAAUUUAGGCGUCGACGACGACGUCAACGACGACGACGGCGGCGGCGGCGGCGGGGCGCGACACGACGCGAGCGCGGAGCUCGCGGACUUCGCGCGGAGGGAGGCGAACAAUGAAAACGACGACGACGACGACGCCGACUACGACGACGACGACGAGAUGGACGACGACGACGAAGAGAACGACGAGGAGAACGACGAUCCCGCCGCCGCGACCGCGACCGCGCCCGCGACCGCGCCGGCGCCGGCGCCAGGGGAGACCGCGCACGACGCGCUCGCGGCGUACGGCGCGGGCGAUUUCUCGGAGAUCGCGCCGUUUGAUAGCACGUGGAGCCCGCGAGGCGCGGUGACGUCUCCGGGGGGGAACGCCGCCGCCGCCGCCGCCGCCAAAACGCCGAUGUCGCCGCCGUCGCGCGCGGCGCAAGCCGCGCGCGAGAUGGGCUUCGGCGACGGCGGGGCUUUCCGAUCUUCGCCGCGACGCCCCAACGCGGCGGCGCCCCCGCCCGCGACGGCGGCUCCCACCGUCGAGGGCAUCGCACGCGAGGAAGAGGAAGCGAGAGCGAGGCUGGACAACGACCGACGAAGCGCCGCGUCGCGCGCGUCGUCGCGGGUCCUGCUCCGCGGCGCCGGCGCCGGGUCGGGGUCCGCGCGGGAUCUCGCCGCGUCCGAGUCGAUGGCCGCGGGCGUCGCGUCCGCGGCGGCGGGGAUCGUCACCCGCGACACACCCGAUCUCCCGGGUCGCGCGCUCGUCGUGUGCCCGACCGUUCAGGUUCAGCCGACCGAGGAUCCGGAGGGUGGCGCGCCGAGGAAGAAGCGCAAGGCGCGUUCUAUACACUGCUCCCCAUACGAUUCCGUCGCCGUGGUGAACGCCGAUCCUUAAGGACUUUUGCCGUCGUCUCUCUCCGCCCACCCCUCGGUUUCAAUCCCCGCCCUCGACGCCUUUGAACGCCAACUGACGCCUUUGAACUCCACCCCGACAUCGCUUCGUACGGAACGACCCCAAGUACGUGAAACGUCAAGCGCGAACGGUGCAGACGACGGCGGACAAAGAGAUCGACGCCGCGGUCGAGCUCGCGGACAAGCCGCCGUCGACGCUCACGGUUCGAGAGCUCGCCGUGCUCUUGAAAGGCGCGAAGCUGCUCAUCGCGCGACGACGCGUCCUCCUGUACAACGGAAUCGACAGCUCGUCGAGACGCGCCGCGCUCGGGUUCCGAGUCGUCGCGAAGAAGAUUCACAAGUGCGUCGCGUGCGGCCGCGUGUUCGACGUGCCGAGCAGGUGCGUUCUAUACACUGGUUCCCAUACGACCCCGUUCGCGUGGUGAACGCCGUUCCUUAAGGACUUUCGCCGGCGAUUCUCUCCGACCACACCUCGCUUUCAAUCCUCGCCCUCGGCGCCUUUCAACUCCAUCUGACGCCUUUCAACUCCACCCCGACGUUCGACGCGCCGAGCAGACUCGUAGACCACAUGAACGAGCACACGGGCGCGCGGCCGUACGCGUGUCCGCACGAAUCGUGCGGGAUGACGUUCACGAACCGCCAAGCGCUGGCGAUGCACAAGAAGAGCAUCCACGACCCGAAGGAGCACGUCUGCCCGGUGCCCGGGUGCGGCAAGCGGUUCAGCAACUCGAGCACGCUGAAUCAGCACCGGUUGGCGCACAGCGACGAGCGGCCGCACAAGUGCGAGGUGGCCGGGUGCGGGAAGACGUUCAAGACGGAGAGCGCGCUGGCGACGCACGGGAGGGUGCACACCGGGGAGAAGCCGUUCAAGUGCGAGGUCGAGGGGUGCGGGAAGAGUUUCGGGUACAAGCUGGACUUGCAGCGGCACACGCGGACGCACUUUGGGCAGCCGGCCAAGCCGGGGGCUUCGAGGAAGCGGCCGCGCGGGGUCGGGGGCGCGGCGCAGCUUCCUCCGCCGGGUCACACGGCCGCGCAGCCGGGGUUCUGGAACAUGAACUCCAUGACGUGGCUCACGGGCGAGCGGUGAUAGGAACGGGACGAACGGGACGAACGGAACGGACGGGGGGGGGAUGGAUUCACAUCGCGCUGUCGCGACGACGACGACGGCGACGACGACGAUCGCUCGAGAACGAACGAACGAAAGGUUUCAUUUGACGACGGGACGUCUCAUCUCAUCAUCACAACCCGAAGUGCUUGUUGUACACCGCGGUGAACUGAUACUCCGCGGCGAUCAUCCUCCCCGCGAACCACCUGGAGUGCAGCGCCGCCUGCGCCCUCUCCGCGCCCUUGACCUCCGCGAACUUGAGGUACACGAACCCCUCGCUGUCCUUGUCCACGUGGCAGUGCGCCACCGCGCCGUGUUUCCCGCACUCGUCCUUCACGUCCUCCGCGAUGUCGUUCCACCACUCAGGCUCCGUCUCCUCUUUCGGGUCGAACAAGUUCUUCAGCAGCAGCGUCUGCGUCGGGAUCGGCGACCCGGGCCCGAGCACGCCCUGCGCCGUCGGCAACGCCGCCGCGGGCAUCUGCGGCGUCGCCAGCUUCGCCGCCUCCUGCGCGGUGAUGACGCGCCCGGACGCGUCCACGCCGGCGAAGUCGCCGCCGUCGGACGUCCCGGCGAGCCUCGCCAUCAGCGCCGCGCGUCCUCGCGAGUCCAUCCGCACGCCCUCCGCGUCCUCCGAGAGCGACACCGCGUUCGCUUGCGUGUACGCGAUGGCCGCCGCCGUCGCCGGAUUUACGACGACGGGCGCUACGAACACCUUCAACGUCUUCCCCACGAGCUCUAGACCGUUCAACUGCGACACCGCGAGCAUCGCCUGCUGCGUGAGCUUGUACUGCACGUGCGCGCCGCCGCUCUGGUCCUUGUCGAUGGUUAUGAAGUCCGUCUCCCCGAACGGCUCGAACACCGCCUUGAGGUCCUCCUCUCGAACGUUCGGGUGGACGCCCUCGACGCGGAGUUUGCACGGGCCCGCGGUGGGGUUUAGGUUUGGGUUUAUCGCCGGGUCCACGGUCGUCGCGAGCUUCUGCUCCUCGCGCUUCGUCGCCUGCUCCGCCUCCCACGCGAUGUUUUUCUCCGCCUCGGACGACUUCACCAUCACGACCUGGUUCCGCAGCGUCUGACCCGUCAGGCUGAGCGCGUUUUCGAUCGACGCCUUGUCUUUGAACUCGACGUACGCCAUGCCCUUCGAUCGCGGCGUGUUCCGGUCGUAGAUGAUCCGCACGUCGCUCACGAUCCCGGCCGCGCUGAAGAACUUGUAAAUCUCGCGCUCGUCCGCCUUCGUGCUCAGGUUGUACGCGAACACCGUCCGCGUGUCGCGGUCGAGCUUCUCGAGCUCGCGCUUCUGCUGCUCCGAUUCCCUCUCCUCCCUGCGUCGCUUCUUCUCCGCCUCGCGCUCCUCGUCCGUGAGCUUGCUCCCGCCCUUGGAGCGGCUCCGCGAGCGCGACCGUCGCGAGUGGCGACGAUCGCGGCCCCUGUCGCGGUCUCGGUCCCGCGCACCGCCGCCGCGAUCUCGCGAUCGGUCUCGGUCUCGUCCGCCGCGACCUCGAUCACCUCGAUCGCGGUCAGACCGGUCCCCGCGGUCGCGUCGGACGUCCCUGUCGCGGUCGCGCCGGUCGCGCUUCUCCCCGGGCUUCUUAGGGUCCUCGUCGUCCGCGGGCGCGUCCGCGGACGGCGCGUCGAGCUUCUUCUCGAGCUCGUCCCACUCGUCCUUGUAGUCGCCGUCGCCCAUCGCGAUCGACGACGGAGAUUUAUUCGGGAGGGAAGGAGGUGCUGAUUACGACGACGCGCGCGACGAUCUGAUGCUGACCGACGGCGUCGGCGGCUCCGGACGCUCGCGCGCGUUCGGGUCCCGACUCGAUCUUCUGACGAUUGAACGCCGCGUCCACCGCCUUCGCGCGCGCGCGCCCUCGCUCGGUCUCGUGUGCGCGGUCGUCAGCGCGCCCCACGGUGUGUCGACGCCGCCGCCGAUUUCCACGGCUGCGUCGAUGGCGAUUUCCCGCGCGGCCGCUGAUGAAGACAAGUUUCGAAAGAUGAUCGCGCCAACUGUCAGGUCAUCGUGCGCACUCCUCCCCCGCGAGACCACGAUGUCGCCCGCGGGCGCGGACGACGACCCGUCCAAGUACCUCGGCCGGCGCGUCGAGGUCCACUGGGCGAACGACGACCCGCCGACGUGGUACCCCGGCGUCGUCGCGCGAUACGAUCCGCGGAGGAAGGACGCGCGGUAUCGCGUCGACUACGACGACGGCGCGGACGAGUGGGUCGACUUCCCGGAGCCGACCGUGCGGUUCUUAGACCCGGAGCCGGCGCCGGAGCCGGCGGCGACGUCGCCGGCGAAGAGGAAGAUGACCGUCGGCGUGAAGCGCGCGGCGCCGUCGACCGCGGCGUCGCCGCGCGCCGAUCCGAUGAUCGGCGACGACAUUAGCGUGCCGAUCGUCGCCAGCGCGAAGAAGGGUACGUGUAAGGGCGGUGCCGACGCCGCCGGCGCGAAGAAGAGACGCCCGGCCGCCGCCUCGGGGAAGAAGAGAGCGAAGGCGAAGGCGAACGACGACGGCGACGCGGCCGUCGUCGACUCCAAGUGCGACGAGUCGCUGUGGACGCGAGCGGCGCGCGCGACGACGGCGUCGCCCGACGGCGCGCUGAUGCCGUCGACGCUGAAAGUGCUCGAGACGUUCGCCGGCGCCGGCGGGUUACACAUGCACGGCGACGCCACCCACGGGCCAUCCGGCGUCGCCGUCGCGCUCGAGUCCGUCGCCGCGAUCGACAUCGUGAAGGACGCGUGCGACACGUAUUCGCACAACUUCCCGGGCGUGAACGUGAUGCACAUCGGCAUCUCGCGGUGCCUGGCGACGGCGCGGCGGCUGCAACGCUUGAAGACGCGCGACUGCGACGCGCGUUGCGACGGCGAAUCGUGCGCCUCCGCGCCGCACGAGCCCGUCGGCGAGCUCGAAGACGUGAACGACGACAUCACGCGCGUGUUAGACUUCCGCAUCACGGACGACGCGACGCACAUGCGCGAGGAGGACGUGCGGCGGAUCAAAGGGAACAAGAAGGGGUCGUCCACGAAGGACAAGCAGAUGUUGGACGAGGUGACGGCGCUGGAGGUGACCGGGAAGAAGCCGCUGCCGUGGAUCGAGUGGCUCGUGGAGAACCACCGCGGGGACACGUGGUGGGAGCGGGACUCGAGCGAGGGGCGGCUCGAGCACGGCGCGCGGGUGUACAUGCGCGCGGACGAGCACCCCGAAGUGUACGAAGAGUUCGCCGAGUUUGAUGAAGGGUCGGACUUUGAAGAAUGCGAAUACGCGCCGUUCGGACCGCACAAGUUCCCGCUCCCGGGAGACGUGCACGUCGUCACCGGCGGGCCGCCGUGCCAGGGCUGGAGCGGGUUCAACCACACGAGGAGCACGUCGGACCAGCUCGCGGAACUCAUGGAGCACCCGGAGAACAGGCUCAUCUGUCGGUUCAUGUAGCUCUGCUGGUUCUACGAGCCGUGGUACGUGCUCAUGGAAGAAGGCGCGAUCAUAUUUACACUGGUCCCCCCACGACCGCGUUCGCGCGGUGAACGCCGAUCCUUGAGGACUUUUCCCGGCGUGUCUCUCCUCCCACCCCUCGCUUUCAAACCCCGCCCUCGGCGCCUUUCAACUCCGCUUCUGACGCCUUUGAACUCCACCCCGACGUUCGCUCGAAUGGAACGACCCGAAGUCCCGGACGUCGCGUCCAAGUCCAACGUGAUGGACUUCAUCACGGGCGCGUACGGCGAGAAAGGGUACGACACGUGGUUCGAACCGAGGCUGCGGACCGGGCACUUCGGGUGCCCGCAGACGCGCGAUCGGCUCAUCUUCGUCGCGUCGUUGCGAGACGCGGUGGACGCGCCGCCCGCGCGUCCGACGCCGAUUUGCAGCGAUUUCGAGCGCGAUAAAAAUUACGCCAUGGACGAGCUGCGCAUCCAGCAAGCCUUCCGCGGCUCCGACGCGACGUACCCGAUCUCGAUGUACGACGGCCGCGUCAACAAGAGCAAAGAGCUCAUGCGGAGCCUCGUCAUCGGCGACGCCGUCAGCUGCGACCUGCCGACGGACGCGGUCGGGUACGGCUCGCACGCCGGGAACAAGUCGACGGAGGCGGAGGAGGUGGGACGCGCGACGGCGCCCUACGCGUCCGCGGCGUCGACGCCGUACAUCGCGUAUCUGCGGCAGGGCGCGGACGACGAGCGCGGCGUGAGCAACCACGUGAAUUACGCGCUCGGCGAGCUCGAUAAGAUGCGGUGCUCGCUCGUGCCGUACGACUGCAAGGGCGUCGGGUGGAGGGAGAUGGCGGGGUCCAUGAACUCGAUGAAGGCGCCGAAGAUGAUGCGGUGCGACGACGCGCAGUGGGCGCAACUCUCGCAGCGGUGGUGCAACAAGAUCCCGAGCUUCAUGCUCACGGAUCAAAACGCGGCGCUGCGCGCGAAGAAGAAGCCGCUGAAGCUGGACCCCGCGACGGGGAUGCCCGCGGUGAAGCCCGGGUGGAAGCUCCGGUCGCGCGUCUUCCCGCUCGUGCCGUACUGGUGCCUGACGAUGAAGGCGGGGAAGGAUUCCGGGUGCUACGGCCGUCUCUCCUACGACGAGCCGCACCCGACGGUGCACUCGUACCACAAGCCGCACUGGCACCCGAGCCUCGUGCCGUACGCGCCGCGAGUGAUGAGCGUCAGAGAGAAGGCGCGCAUUCAGGGGUUCCCGGACCGUUUCGUCUUCAAAGGGACGGUGCACCAGCAGUACAAGCAGAUCGCCAACGCGGUGUCGCCGCAGCUCACCAAGGCGCUCGCGCGGUCGAUCCUGCACUCCGCGCUUCAGACGAAGACGCGCGGCGCGUUCGACGCGAGCAAAGACGCGGAGUCACUGCGCCAGGUGACGUACUCGGAAUCGCUGCCGAACUUCAAAGAUUUCAUGUCGGGCUUCGACGAGAACGCGGUCGCCCGGUUCAAACGCCACGCCCCGAUCGCGGUGAAGACGCCGAAGCUGUGCGAGAUGACCUACGCGGAGUUCCUCAUGGAGUACAACACGGAGUUUCGCUCGGAUCACAGCGUGCGGAACGCCAACUUGACGCCGUUUCAGGUUUUACACCAAGUCGAGAUCAACCACAGCUGGCACGUCGGCGAGGUGUUCGCGGUGCGGUGGAACGAAGGCGGCGGCGACGGCGGCGGCGACGCGGGCGCCUACCGGGAGAUUUUGAUCUCGUUCAAGGGGUUCACGAAACCGGAGUGGGUGGACCUGAACGGCGACAUGUACGUCACGCUGCCGUGGAAGCAGUUCAUGAGCAAACACACGGACGAGGUCAGCGCGGUGUUGAACGCGCCGAAGUCGAAGCAGCGGUUCGGCGUCCCCGGCUCCGGGUUCGCGCGCCCCGGACGCGUGCUGAACCUCCCGCCGGAGCUCGACGUCCUCUCCACGGUGAACGGCGAGGGCGCGCUCGAGGGCAACGGGUACUCGCAGCCGGAGCUCAUCGCCGCGGAGACGCAGUUCAACGAGUGGGAUCAGACGUACGCGGACGAUAAAGCGGAGGGGAGGGUUUUAGUCACGAACACGACGAAGAAGUACGACAGGAAGACGAAGGGGAAGGCGGUGAAGUCGGCGGCGCCCGCGAAGAAGAAGGCGGAGAUCGUCGCGGAAGAAGAGGACGACGACGAGGAGGACGAGGAGGACGUGGAGCUGGAAGAAGAUCUUCCGCAGUGCUCCGACGACGAGGAUUGAUUGACGAUGCUUUGGUUCGUGUAUUUCAUUUAAUUUUACGUAUUUAAAGGGUCGUAAGUUAAGAAGUAGUCGUCUUCUUCACCGCGACGACGGAGCCUUUCAAUCCGUUGACGUAAUCCCUCGCGCUCAUCGCCUUCUUUCCCGGCGGCUGGAGCUCCGUGAUCUCCAGCCACCCGCCGCCAGCGCACGGCACGCGCAUGCAGUCCUUCCUGAUCACGACCGUCCCCGCCGCGCGCGCGGCCGCGUCGUCGCCUUCGCCUUCGCCUUCGCCGCCGACGCGCGUGGUGACGAUCUUCAACGACACUUCCUUCGCGUCCGCCGCGGCCUCCGUCUCUUUCCGCACCGCGAACGUCGCCUUCGUCCCGGGCCACCCCGCGAACCCGCGCACCUUAUCGUGCAGCCUCCGCGCGCUCAGCUCGCCGUCGCAGAAGUCGAGCUCGCUCUCCUCGACGCUCACCUUGGCCGCGUGCGACGCCUCGCCGUACGACUCCUGCGGGGUGGAGUUGAAAGGCGUCAGAAGCGGAGUUGAAAGGCGUCGCGGGCGGGGAUUGAAAGGAAGGGGUGGGCGGAGAGAGAAGACGGCAAAAGUCCUUAAGGAUCGGCGAUCACCACGCGAACGCGGUCGUAUGGGGAACAGAGUGACGCGACUCUUACCUGCGGCGUCGUCCCGGCGUCGAACGCCGCCGCGCCGCUCCACACGUCCGGCAACGCGUCCACGAGCGCCCUCGCGCCGAGGCCGAACAGCUCCUCGAGCAGCUCCGGGUGCUUCUCGUCGCCGAGCAGCGGGCGCUCGAUCCUGCGGAGCACCGGGCCGGCGUCCAUCUUGAGCACGGUGUACGCGACUGAGGGCCGAGGAUCCGUACGAAGCGACGAACGUCGGGGAGGAGUCGAGAGGCGUCAGAAGCGGAGUUGUGAGGCGUCGAGGUGUGUCGGGAUUGAAACCGUGGUGUGGGCGGAGAGAAAUCCCGGGAAGUAAAGUCCUUAAGAAACGGCGUUCACCACGCGAACGCGGUCGUAUGGGGACCAGUCAGUGUGAGGAAUACGCGCCUGAGACGCCGGUGACGUCCACGCCCGCCUCGAGCGCGCGCUGCACCGGCGCGGCGCCGCGAAACUGCGGCAACAGACUCGGGUGGAUGUUCAGCGUCCCGAGGCGCGGGAUGUCCAGGAAGCGCUGCGGAAGGAAGUUGCCGUACGCCGCGGUGACCAUCAGGUCCACGUCCAUCGCUCGCAGCGUCGCUAGGAAGUCGUCCUGCAAGCGAAUGUCGGGGUGAAGUUCAAAGGCGUCAGUUGAAGUUGAAAGGCGUCGAGGCCGGGGCUUGAAAGCGAGGGAUGGGAGGAGAGACACGCCGGGAAAAGUCCUUAAGGAACGGCGUUCACCACGCGAACGCGGUCGUAUGGGGACUGGUGUAUAGAACGCACCUCGUUCGCCUUGACGGGGCACAAGAUAAAAUCCUCGGGGACGCCGCGCGUCGCCGCGAGCGCGGCGACGGGCGACGGCGGCGGCGGGCCGCUCGAUUUUCGCCCGCGCCCUCGCGGGCGCCCGGGCUGGGACACGACCGCGUGGACUUCGAACGCGGCGUCCGGGGUCUCCGCGGCGUCGAAUAUCGCGCUCAGCGCGCCGGCGGCGACGUCGGGGGUGCCGAGGAACACGAGGCGAUGCUUUCGCGCGCCGCCUCCCUCUUCGUCGGACGGCGACGGCGACGACGACGACGCGCGGGCGGAGACGUUUCGGACGCCGCCGACGCCGCGCGCGGACGAGGUCGUCGUCGUCGCGAUGACGCGGAGCGGGCGGCGAUGACGCGCGGCGUCCGAGGGACCCGGCGCGUGACCCGAUCGCGGGCUUCGGUGAAGAUGACGAUGAUGAUGAUGAUGAUGAUGAUGAGGGUGCCCCGUCGACGCGGCCGUCGCGGCGACGCACCGCGACGACGCCCACGCCCGGGUGGACAUCGCCUCGCGCACGAUGCCGCUUCCGCUCGUUCGAAACGCGCGCAGUCCAGCCUUCGCGGCCGCGAACGACGACAUCUCCGUGUCUGCGCCUCGGGAAGUGGCACCGACAGCUGUGUGAGAAACGAUGAAGCCCGUCUAUCGAUGUCGCGUCAGAUCCUCGGACGCGGAGUCGUUUCAGUGCACGGCGCGCGCGCCCCCCCGCGUCCACGAUGGCGGCCGCGGCGGCGGGACCGAUCGAGGACGAGUCCAAGUACUUCAAGGUGGACGUGUGCGUCGGCGACGCGCCGCUCCCGAUCGUGACCGCGGUCGACGGCGGCGAGUGGGUCGUCGCUCGCUUCGACGACCCGACGACGACGAUGAUGAAGACCGAGGAGCAGGAUCCGUACGGCGAGCGGUACACCCAGGAGUGGCCCGCGACGCCCUACGCGGUGCGCGUUUCGAACGAGUCCUACCCGGGCCCCGUGGAGGCGCAGGUGUUCGUGGACGGCAAGCUCGCGGGGAUCCAGGUCGUGUACAAAGCGAACGACGAGCGAGGGCCGCAGUACAAGAACGCGAUGUGGUUCAGGGGGUUCGCGUCGUCGCCGCAGGUGAUCAGCUACGGCAAGGACACGAUCACGCAGUUCCUGUUCACGCUCCCGAGGGCGGCAGCCGCGAGGGGGGGUGGGGACCAGGGCGCGCGGCCGAAGAUGUCCGCCGCGGACCGCGCGGCGUUGGAGUCCAUCAGAGUCGUGUUCCACGACGUGCAGUUCACCGGAGCGAGGAAAGAGGUCGCGGUCCCGGUGGCGGCGCGGCGCGGCGCGGUCGUCUCCGGCGUGAACAAAGCGUCCGCGAAGGACGCGAAAGCGUCCACGAGCACGGCGACGGGCGCGACGCUGCAGAACGCGCACGCGGGGGCGUACACCGGGAGCGUGUACGACCGCUUAGAAGUCAUCGCGGAGAGAACGAUUCGAUACGGGACGAAAUCGCAGUUGCAGCUACGGCGCGCGCUGCCGAGCGACGUCGAGGAGGCGACAGGAGAGCGCGCGAAGAAGACCGAGACCGAGGAGGGGGUCGGAGGAGGGGGAGGGGGAGGGGGCGGGGGCGCGGGCGUCGACGUCGUGGAGAUCGACGCGGCGCCGACGCGCGUCAAGCCGGAGCCGCGCGCGUUGCAUCCCGCGUGCGUCGCCGCCGCGCUCGCAGCGGGGAACGACGGGCCUAUCGAGCUCGAGUGACGAGAGGAGGGAGGAAGCGCGCGUAUGGGGGGGGGGGAGGGACGAGAUGCAAAAGACAGAGACGACGAGACGACGGACGACACGAUCGUGAUAGGCACGCGAGACGACGCGGACGCGACGACGCGACGACGCGACGGGAAUUUUUCGAUGAACAGAGAACGAUUCCGUUCCUUUCUUCGCGACCGCUGCUAACAAACUAUCGUCGCACUACGCGCGCUGUAGUGUACCGCCUUCUCAACCCCGCGCAUCACAUCGAACACAUCAAUCCGAGUCCUCCUCCUCGUCGUCCGACCCUCUCCGCUCGCGCUCACCCCCGUGCCUCAGCGCCCUGAAGUGCUGAUGCGGGUACCGCCUCCCACACGUCUCGCACGGGGUCCCGCCCACCCCGCUCCACGCGCCCUCGCCGGCUUCGCACGGGACGACCUCGUCGUCGUCGUCCGAGCCGUCGCCGUCGGCGCCGCGGCCUUUCGAAGGCUUCUCGCCCUCGUCGCUGCUGUCACCGUUUGCGCCCCCCGCGACGCCGCCCUUCGAAGGCGGUGGCGGCGCGAGGGGAUGCCCCGGCAGCGCGCCCGCGACGCGCGCGAGCCAUCGAAUCACCUUCUCCUCGUCGAACCCCUCGACGCCGCCGAAGUCGUUCAGCCCGCACGUCCACGCGCCGAGUUUCUUCCUCCUGAACGUGAUCACCGCGGGCAGCGUCGGCGCGCCGAUCGUCCGCAGCAUCGGGCUCGGGCAUAGGGCGUCGACGCGGACGAACCGCGUCUUCGGAUGCGCGGGCGCGAGCGCGUCGAGCACCUCGUCGAUCCUCGCGCACUCGUCCAUCCCUUCCAAGACGAAGUGGAACACGACGCGCGACGGCCCGCUCUUCACGAUCGUUGGGAUGUCGGCCUCCUUCGCGGCGUUAUACGAUGAGGCGCCCUCCCUCUGCCGCGUCGCGGCGUUCUUCGCCGCCGCGGCUUUCAUCUCCGCGAGCCGUCGUUCGUGAAUCUCUCGAAGGACCGGAUCCAUCGUGCUCGCCAUCCGCAGGUCGUCGUCGUCGUCGUCGUCGUCCGUGAGGAGAUCGUCGCUGUCCUCGUCCUCCUCGUCCUCGUCCUCCUCAUCCUCGUCCAGGUUCGCGCGCUCCAUGACCCCGCCCGCGGCGCGGACGGCCUCGAGCCGCGCGACCGGGUCGUGCGCUCGCAAGAUGCGCUUGAUCCGCGCCGCCUCCUUCUGCGCUUUCGCAUCCUUCUCGCAGCACGAGCCCGGCCUCGGGGCGUCCGCGUACUCCUCCCCGGCCGCGUCGAGGGCCUCGUCGACCCACGACGUGCACUUGCCGGUGUCGCACGCGUCGUCCGCGCACGCGGGAGGGGGAGGUUGACCCAUCGCGGCGGCGCGUCGGCGUGUGACGGCGAUCGAUGUUCUGUUUUCGUCGCGAGGAGUGCACACUGGUGCCGUCUGCUGUGCGACGUCCCGUCGGUUCGAAACUUCCAGAAGGACGCGGACGACGCCCAGAUCUGGGCGCGCGAGACACGCGAGCGCGAUGCCGAAGGGCGCUCGCGCCCACAACAGGCGCCGAAAUCCGCCGUCGUCGAAGACGGCGGCGGCGGAGAGCGCGGCGGUCUACGUCGACAAGGCGGCGGGUCUUCCACGUCCCGCGUCGAAGACGAACGACGACGAUCUAGUCGACGAUCUAGUCGACGAUGACGCUCCCGCGGCCGCUCCCGCGGCCGCUCCNNNNN